RNAcentral lists this unclassified non-coding RNA (333 nucleotides) under soil metagenome. RNAcentral describes it as "partial contains 5.8S ribosomal RNA, internal transcribed spacer 2, and large subunit ribosomal RNA". The stretch from base 4 to 119 matches the Rfam family "5.8S ribosomal RNA", at positions 39 to 154 of the family's 154-position model. The record is from RNAcentral.
GAUAAGAACGUAGCGAAAUGCGAUAAGUAAUGUGAAUUGCAGAAUUCAGUGAAUCAUCGAAUCUUUGAACGCACAUUGCGCCCCCCAGUAUUCUGGCGGGCAUGCCUGUUCGAGCGUCAUUUCAACCAUCAAGCCCUGCUUGUGUUGGGGUCCUGCGGCUGCCCGCAGGCCCUGAAAACCAGUGGCGGGCUCGCUAGUCACACCGAGCGCAGUAGCACAUCUCGCUCAGGGCGUGCGGCGGGCUCCAGCCGUUAAAGCACCCACCUUUCGCAAGGUUGACCUCGGAUCAGGUAGGAAUACCCGCUGAACUUAAGCAUAUCAAUAAGCGGAGGA